CUACUGGGGUAUCUAAUCCUGUUUGCUCCCCACGCUUUCGUGCCUCAGUGUCAGUGUUGGUCCAGGUAGCUGCCUUCGCCAUGGAUGUUCCUCCCGAUCUCUACGCAUUUCACUGCUACACCGGGAAUUCCACUACCCUCUACCACACUCUAGUCGCCCAGUAUCCACUGCAAUUCCCAGGUUGAGCCCAGGGCUUUCACAACAGACUUAAACAACCACCUACGCACGCUUUACGCCCAGUAAUUCCGAGUAACGCUUGCACCCUUCGUAUUACCGCGGCUGCUGGCAC
RNAcentral lists this ribosomal RNA (289 nucleotides) under uncultured Stenotrophomonas sp. RNAcentral describes it as "partial 16S ribosomal RNA". Lineage: Bacteria; Pseudomonadati; Pseudomonadota; Gammaproteobacteria; Lysobacterales; Lysobacteraceae. The record is from RNAcentral.